RNAcentral lists this long non-coding RNA (2381 nucleotides) under Bemisia tabaci. Its description in RNAcentral is "lncRNA ENSASIAIIG005549". Lineage: Eukaryota; Metazoa; Arthropoda; Insecta; Hemiptera; Aleyrodidae. The record is from RNAcentral.
CCAUUUUAAAUUGCAUGUGGUGCAAACGAUGAAAAUAUACCGUGAUAAAUUCGGGCACUAGUCGGUUGGAUUGAAUUGACUUGCAUACGAAGCUUUCACCAGCUUGUAAUAGUUUUUUUAGCUUUUCAGUUGAAUUGACGUAAAAGCGCGAUUGAAAUGUCCUUCGUCUGUUAAAAAAGUGAGGAACUAAUUGUUUCUUUUUUAGAAAAACUCUGCAAUUUAGAUACAUGUGAUCACUUUGAUUGUACUACAGCAGUCAGCGUUCAUGAUGCGAUCAGGAGACUUGAGUUGGACGACGACGAUCCAGACUCUUCACGAUGCGGCGAACCAGUGCAGUCAAGUAAACGGAGGGUCGCCUGCCGAAAUGAGGCAGGCUGCGCACCUGACUUGCAGGCAGGUAUUUCAAUCCCUCGACCGUCUCAACGUUAAUAUUUGCCACGGGUGGCGCAAAGCCAAGUGUCGCCUCGUCCCGGGCGAAAAGGCCUACCAGUGCUCCGUCGAGGUCCCUCCUUGUGUGCUAGAAGAAGCAUUCGGUGCGGGAGCAAAAAUUCUCACCGUUGACACCUGCGCGCCCGAACUUUUCAACACGGAUCCUACCCGGCGAAACCCACCCCCGUCCCUGUCCAGAGGGGCGUCUUCCAGCUCAAGCCGCGACAGAGGCAAAAGACGUUUGGAAGGAACGAGUCAGAGACAAGAUACCGGAGGGGCUGGUGGCUGGAGCAGUGGAAAUCCUUUUCAACCCGGAGGAGCCGGUGGCUGGAGCAGUGCAAAUCCUUUUCAACCCGGAGGAACCGGUGGCUGGAGCAGUGUAAACCCUUUCGAAACCGGAGGAACCGCAGGCUCGAGCAGUGUAAAUCCUUUCGAAACCGGAGGAACCGGCGACUGGAUCAGUGCAGCUCCCUACCCCGGAGGCUAUUAUCAACCUUCAGGCUCUUCGUAUCUCACGCGUACUUCACCCCCUCGAAGUCCAACACGUGCCACAAAUCCUCCACCACGUGUAUAUCCCUCAGUGCGUGUACCUCCAUCAGGAGGUACAGCUCCUUCAGCAGCGCGUGUAUUUCCUUCAGUACAAGUACCACCUUCAUCCGGUGCGUCCAACAUCGACCAGUUCACAGGUUUCUCAUUCGGCGAUUCACUCCCCGGCACUCCACGCCGUACUCCGCCUCCACCAAGUGGGUUGCCAGUAGAUCCUUCAUUCGGUGUGAGUGCUUACGGAUUCGGUAGUGAUGAUGAGUUAGAACACGGUGGCAGAACUUCGAAUCCCCCUCCACUUCCUGGAGGUUCUUCACUCCGUGGCAUGCUAGGCCGUACUCCUCCUCCUCUAAGUCCUGGGUUGCCGGUUGAUUCUUCAUUUGGAGUAAGUGCUUACGGAUUCGGUAGUGAUGAUGAGUUAGAACACGGUGGCAGAACUUCGAAUCCCCCUCCACUUCCUGGAGGUUCUUCACUCCGUGGCAUGCUAGGCCGUACUCCUCCUCCUCUAAGUCCUGGGUUGCCGGUUGAUUCUUCAUUCGGAGUAAGUGCUUACGGAUUCGGUAGUGAUGAUGAGUUGGAACACGAAGGUGGGACUUCAAAUCCCCCUCUACCUCCUGCAAGUCCUUCACGCCCGCGUGGUUCAAGAUCGAAAGGGAUAAACACCGGGGAUUUCAUAUGUCCUGUAUGUGGAAGAUCUUACACAUAUAAAAAGCGAUUCGAGAAACACGUGGCGAAACAUGGUGACAAAGGAAGAAAAUAUACAUGCCCCGAAUGCGAAAAUCCCACGUUCUUUCGUAAUAAGAAGAUGUACGAAGAACAUAUGAAGUCAGAGCACGGAGGAGGUGAAUUUUUAUCUUUUUCGACAAGUAUUGAUACUGCUUAUUUUUUCGGAUCUUUCUUUCUAUCGAAAGCUAUUAAAAUUCGAAAUAUCUGUAGCUUUAAAUAAGAUGUAGGUCAUCACAGUUUGUAACACUAACGUAUUGGAAAUAAGGAAACGGGACAUAUUCACAUCGAGAGUGCUAAAAAAAUACCUUUAAGAACACUGGGAAAAAAACACAUUAGAUCUAGAGUCCAGACUCUUAAAAACAUCGACAAGGAAAAAUACUCUUGAUUCAAUCAGAUUUAAGCUUCAAUCAAGAACAAAGCCUCUUAUAAUUUGAGCGGAUUUCCUUUUGAUUUAAGCUUAAAUAUGAUUGAAUCAAGAGUCCUUUUUCUUGUCAAUGUUUUCAAGAGUCUCGACUCUAGAUCCAAUGCGUUUUUUUUCCAGUGAACGUGGUAAAAUAAAUGUCAGUUAAGGACCAAGAACCUUUUCGAAACUGAGGGGCGCAAGAUGCGUGCAAAAGGGUCUUAAAUCGGGUAGCGCCCUGGAAAACUGCGAUAGCUCUAUUCUAAACUAAAUUAUAUCAACA